GGGCGUGCGGCGGCUACCUGCAGUCGACGGUAGCCCAGAGAGCUUGCUCUCGGGUGACGAGUGGCGGACGGGUGAGUAAUGUCUGGGAAACUGCCUGAUGGAGGGGGAUAACUACUGGAAACGGUAGCUAAUACCGCAUAACGUCGCAAGACCAAAGAGGGGGACCUUCGGGCCUCUUGCCAUCAGAUGUGCCCAGAUGGGAUUAGCUAGUAGGUGGGGUAACGGCUCACCUAGGCGACGAUCCCUAGCUGGUCUGAGAGGAUGACCAGCCACACUGGAACUGAGACACGGUCCAGACUCCUACGGGAGGCAGCAGUGGGGAAUAUUGCACAAUGGGCGCAAGCCUGAUGCAGCCAUGCCGCGUGUAUGAAGAAGGCCUUCGGGUUGUAAAGUACUUUCAGCGGGGAGGAAGGUGUUGUGGUUAAUAACCGCAGCAAUUGACGUUACCCGCAGAAGAAGCACCGGCUAACUCCGUGCCAGCAGCCGCGGUAAUACGGAGGGUGCAAGCGUUAAUCGGAAUUACUGGGCGUAAAGCGCACGCAGGCGGUCUGUCAAGUCGGAUGUGAAAUCCCCGGGCUCAACCUGGGAACUGCAUUCGAA
Molecule: ribosomal RNA, 600 nt
Filed under: Enterobacter kobei
Lineage: Bacteria; Pseudomonadati; Pseudomonadota; Gammaproteobacteria; Enterobacterales; Enterobacteriaceae
Description: bacterial SSU rRNA
Rfam family: Bacterial small subunit ribosomal RNA
Source: RNAcentral